This 645-nucleotide ribosomal RNA is filed under the name uncultured Corynebacterium sp. Its description in RNAcentral is "bacterial SSU rRNA". It matches the Rfam family "Bacterial small subunit ribosomal RNA", at positions 235 to 885 of the family's 1533-position model. Lineage: Bacteria; Bacillati; Actinomycetota; Actinomycetes; Mycobacteriales; Corynebacteriaceae. The record is from RNAcentral.
GGCCUAUCAGCUUGUUGGUGGGGUAAUGGCCUACCAAGGCGGCGACGGGUAUACGGCCUGAGAGGGUGUACGGACACAUUGGGACUGAGAUACGGCCCAGACUCCUACGGGGAGGCAGCAGUGGGGAAUAUUGCACAAUGGGCGCAAGCCUGAUGCAGCGACGCCGCGUGGGGGAUGAAGGCCUUCGGGUUGUAAACUCCUUUCGCUAUCGACGAAGCCACUUGUGGUGACGGUAGGUAGAUAAGAAGCACCGGCUAACUACGUGCCAGCAGCCGCGGUAAUACGUAGGGUGCAAGCGUUGUCCGGAAUUACUGGGCGUAAAGAGCUCGUAGGUGGUUUGUCGCGUCGUCUGUGAAAUCCCGGGGCUUAACUUCGGGCGUGCAGGCGAUACGGGCAUAACUUGAGUGCUGUAGGGGAGACUGGAAAUUCCUGGUGUAGCGGUGAAAUGCGCAGAUAUCAGGAGGAACACCGAUGGCGAAGGCAGGUCUCUGGGCAGUUACUGACGCUGAGGAGCGAAAGCAUGGGUAGCGAACAGGAUUAGAUACCCUGGUAGUCCAUGCCGUAAACGGUGGGCGCUAGGUGUGGGGUCUUCCACGACUUCCGUGCCGUAGCUAACGCAUUAAGCGCCCCGCCUGGGGAGUACGG